GGAGCAGACACAGAUGCAGAAACAAAGGAAAAAAGCUGCUUACCUUUGGAAGGCCUCAGGGCAGGACUGGGAUUGGUGUCCUCUUUGCUUCUGCACCAAGACAAUGAAAAGAGUCCAGUGGACAGCCCUGAGCUCCCCACGGCCUCCAGGGACAAUGGGAGGAGUCCAGCGGACAGCCCUGACCUCCGUGCAGCCUCCAGGGGAGCCCUGAAGAAGAGGGCAGCACUGGGACUGAUGUCCUGUCAGCUGCUGUGCCGGGACAAUGGGAGGAGCCCAGCAGACGGCACCGAGCUCCUGCAGCCUCCAGGCAGCACCAGAGAAGGUCCAGAGGCAGCUUCCAUUGGAGAAGCAGAAGACUUUGGUUUGGACAGGAAGAAGGACUCGCGUUCAGCAUGAAGGUCCAUUCCAGCUGCUCCACUGGGACUUUUGUGUCAAACCAGGACAAGAAGCAAUUCAAAAGGACAGUACCAAAUUGUAACGAUAAUAAAGACCUAAAGCUCUUUUCUAAAGCCAAAGCAGUCAGCGCCUCUCCACUGUCAGCACUCCUAAGUCUGCCCUGGGCCUGCCGGGUCCCCUCCGCUCUCCCCAGAGGGAACGGCUCUGCCCCGCGGGGUGAGGCCCAGCACAGGCCUCAGCCCCGGGGAGGGACUCGGGCAUACGG
Gallus gallus (chicken) is the source of this 661-nucleotide long non-coding RNA. Lineage: Eukaryota; Metazoa; Chordata; Aves; Galliformes; Phasianidae. The record is from Ensembl.